GGAAGGAUCAUUACUAAAUUGUCAACACGAGUUGUUGCUGGUCCUCAAAUGGGGGCACGUGCACACUCUGUUUGCACAUCCACUCACACCUGUGCACCUUCUGUAGUUCUGUGGCUGGGGGGACUCUGUCCUCCCACCGUGGUUCUGCAUCUUCACACACACACACUGUAAUAAGGUCUCAUGGAAUGUAUACCGCGUUUAACGCAAUAUAAUACAACUUUCAGCAACGGAUCUCUUGGCUCUCGCAUCGAUGAAGAACGCAGCGAAAUGCGAUAAGUAAUGUGAAUUGCAGAAUUCAGUGAAUCAUCGAAUCUUUGAACGCACCUUGCGCCCUUUGGCUAUUCCGAUGGGCAUGCCUGUUUGAGUAUCAUGAACACCUCAACUCUCAUGGUUUGCCAUGAUGAGAUUGGACUUUGGGGGUCUUGCUGGCCUGUUGUCAGCUCCUCUCAAAUGAAUCAGCUUCCCAGUGCUUGGUGGCAUCACAGGUGUGAUAACUAUCUACGCUUGUGAGUCCAUACCAGAUAACCUUCAGCGAUGGGGGUUCGCUGGGGCUCAUAAAUGUCUCUCCUCAGUGAGGACAGCUCUUUGAAUGUUUGAUCUCAAAUCAGGUAGGACUACCCGCUGAACUUAAGCAUAUCAAUAAGCGGAGGAAAAGAAACUAACAAGGAUUCCCCUAGUAACUGCGAGUGAAGCGGGAAGAGCUCAAAUUUAAAAUCUGGCGU
RNAcentral lists this ribosomal RNA (722 nucleotides) under uncultured fungus. RNAcentral's name for it is "eukaryotic LSU rRNA". The stretch from base 216 to 370 matches the Rfam family "5.8S ribosomal RNA". Lineage: Eukaryota; Fungi. The record is from RNAcentral.